AUACGGAGGAUCCGAGCGUUAUCCGGAUUUAUUGGGUUUAAAGGGUGCGCAGGCGGGGGAUUAAGUCGGCGGGGAAAUUUUGCAGCUCAACUGUAAAAGUGCCUUUGAAACUGGUUUCCUUGAGUGGAGAUGAAGUAGGCGGAAUUUGUGGUGUAGCGGGGAAAUGGGUAGAUAUCACGAGGAACUCCGAUUGCGCAGGCAGCUUACUAAACUACUACUGACGCUCAGGCACGAAGGCGUGGGGAUCAAACAGGAUUAGAUACCCUGGUAGUCCACGCAGUAAACGAUGAUUACUAGCUGUUUGCGAUACAAUGUAAGCGGCUGAGCGAAAGCGUUAAGUAAUCCACCUGGGGAGUACGUUCGCAAGAAUGAAACUCAAAGGAAUUGACGGGG
RNAcentral lists this ribosomal RNA (393 nucleotides) under uncultured bacterium. Its description in RNAcentral is "partial 16S ribosomal RNA". It matches the Rfam family "Bacterial small subunit ribosomal RNA", at positions 523 to 918 of the family's 1533-position model. The record is from RNAcentral.